This 608-nucleotide ribosomal RNA is filed under the name fungal sp. ARIZ B431. RNAcentral's name for it is "eukaryotic LSU rRNA". The stretch from base 242 to 395 matches the Rfam family "5.8S ribosomal RNA". The record is from RNAcentral. Lineage: Eukaryota; Fungi.
UUGUAACAAGGUCUCCGUUGGUGAACCAGCGGAGGGAUCAUUACCGAGUUUACACUCCCCAAACCCAAUGUGAACGUUACCAAACUGUUGCCUCGGCGGGAUCUCUGCCCCGGGUGCGUCGCAGCCCCGGACCAAGGCGCCCGCCGGAGGACCAACCAAAAACUCUUUUGUAUACCCCCUCGCGGGUUUUUAUAUCUGAGCCAUCUCGGCGCCUCUCGUAGGCGUUUCGAAAAUGAAUCAAAACUUUCAACAACGGAUCUCUUGGUUCUGGCAUCGAUGAAGAACGCAGCGAAAUGCGAUAAGUAAUGUGAAUUGCAGAAUUCAGUGAAUCAUCGAAUCUUUGAACGCACAUUGCGCCCGCCAGUAUUCUGGCGGGCAUGCCUGUCCGAGCGUCAUUUCAACCCUCGAACCCCUCCGGGGGGUCGGCGUUGGGGAUCGGCCCUUUACGGGGCCGGCCCCGAAAUACAGUGGCGGUCUCGCCGCAGCCUCUCCUGCGCAGUAGUUUGCACACUCGCAUCGGGAGCGCGGCGCGUCCAUUGCCGUAAAACACCCAACUUUCUGAAAUGUUGACCUCGGAUCAGGUAGGAAUACCCGCUGAACUUAAGCAU